Vicugna pacos (alpaca) is the source of this 1558-nucleotide non-coding RNA. Lineage: Eukaryota; Metazoa; Chordata; Mammalia; Artiodactyla; Camelidae. The record is from RefSeq and is a predicted model, not a curated record.
ACCACCGUGCAAAUUCUGUUGCAGGGCACAUCGCGUCAGACCUUCAAGUGCUCUGUUUGUGCCAAAUCAUUACCACUUGCCACAUGAGUCUAAAUCAUGACGGAUGCCAAGUAUGUCCUCUGCCGAUGGAAAAAGCGAUUAUGGCCUGCAAAGGUCUUGUCUGGAAAUGAGAAGUCAGCAAAAAAUAAGAGAAAAAAGGAAUUUUUUCUAAAUGUUCAGAUACUCUCCCUAGACAAAAAAAUUACGGUGAGAAGCUCGGGGGCCAAGAUCCUGAAGAAGGCUCACAUUGAAGGCAUCGCUUCCUCACUAGCUUCCCCGAACCAGGUCCCCGUCGCGCCCCUGGAGGAGUUGGCCUACAGACGAUCGCUUCGGGUGGCUCUGGAUGUUUUGAACGAGAGAACACACUUGUGUCAGGAAAGCUCUUUGACAGCAGAAAGGCCCACUCUGUCUCCAAGGGUGAAGCCUGCGGGGCUCGCCCCCUUGCUCCGAGACCCUAGCUCUUUGCCUUUGCUCCAUGAGGACAUGUCGGGCCAGCUCGGGCCUGAGAGGAGGGGGUGUGCACACCAGGGGCCGUCAGCUUCACCCACUCAUGAAAGGGACCCCACGUGCAAAGUGGACCCCAAGAAGAGGCUUGGGACAGGGGGAAGCCCACCCAACCCGGUGGUCUCCUCGGGCGGUGGUGGUUCUCAGGACAGUCGUGGAUCAAGAGUACAGCGGAAAACCCGGAGCACCCUGAGUAAGAGGAGGAGGAAUCCAGCUCAGGAGAGCGGCUUGUGUCAGAAGGCCCCUCUGUCUUCAGAGGGAGCUGGUGAAGAGGAGAGUGAGAUGAGGGCAGGCGGCCUGGUGGGCCUGCACUCGCCUCCCAGAGCUGCGGAGGAGGGUCCAUCUGGCCCGUGAGGGCCACCUGGAGGUGCCUUUGGGUGGCCCCUCUGUCCCAGAUGCUCACGGCCGCCCCGCCGAGCAGCUGUGCCCGGGUGGCAGCCAGAGGCUGAGGGUACAUGUGGCUCCACGCAGCCCCGCAGAGGAGACUGGAAGCGUCCGUCUCACCGAGGAAGCGGAGCCCGGCGGAGCACCUCGGCUGGUACGGCGGUAACGCUGUGUCUGCUCCCUGAGGAUUAACUCUUUCAUUCUUCACUGUUGUGGGAGCCAUCAUGCAUUCCCGUUAAAUUGGCAGGAAUCUCAAAAGUGAUUAACUCACUUAAAAGGCUCCUGACUUUUUCAGAGUUCCUGUGUAGACGUAUUUCUGUGUGGCUGCAGCCCUGUGCUGUGCUGUUCUUCUUUUGGACAUUGUAGCAUCCCACUUAGUUUUGAAAUGCUAAUGCAGGGAUCUUAAUUUCUGCGUGGUUGGGUACCCCGAGCUCUCCUGCUCCACACAGACCCGUACUCGGCGUUUCUGCCUUUAUUCUGCUCCUUUCAAGAGGCUGCCUCCCUGGCUCAUUGGAAGCGCAGAAACAGGAGCCCCUGAGCCGUUUUCUUCAGAGGAGGUGGCUGCCUGCCACCUUGUCCCAGAGCCGCGCUUCCCCCCACCCCCAAUCCCGGGUGGUCUGGCUAAGGGGCA